UUUUAUAUCUUUGGGGGUGAUGAGAGAAAUGGAUAACAAGUUCAUUAAACCAUUGAAAUCAGAGGGUUGAAAAUCAAACUCAAAGACAAGAAAACCGGGUUAUGAAGAACUGAAAAUCAUGAGUAUGGUGAGUUGAAGAUGAUUUUUCAAGUAUAAAAAUAUGAAAAAGGAACAAAAUCCUAACAUCAUAUUCUAAACUAUACUAUGGCUUGGCUUCAUCCUUAAUCCAACUUCAAUGUUGUUUUGACCAUGCUCUGUGAUUUGCAGGUCCAUUACCCCUUUGGUCUUGAACCUCUCAAACAUAAAACCCAUCGGCAAGAAACUGUAAUGGUGAACUCUAAACUAAUUCCACCUGUGCCCUUCCCUGGAGUCAAGAAAAAAUUAAAUGUAAUAUCCCAA
This 399-nucleotide long non-coding RNA is filed under the name Gossypium barbadense (sea-island cotton). RNAcentral's name for it is "long non-coding RNA (GBAR_LNC010416)". Lineage: Eukaryota; Viridiplantae; Streptophyta; Magnoliopsida; Malvales; Malvaceae. The record is from RNAcentral.